CUGGUGUUCGGGUUGUCAUGCCAAUGGCACUGCCCGGUAGCUAAAUGCGGAAGAGAUAAGUGCUGAAAGCAUCUAAGCACGAAACUUGCCCCGAGAUGAGUUCUCCCUGACCCUUUAAGGGUCCUGAAGGAACGUUGAAGACGACGACGUUGAUAGGCCGGGUGUGUAAGCGCAGCGAUGCGUUGAGCUAACCGGUACUAAUGAACCGUGAGGCUUAACCUUACAACGCCGAAGCUGUU
RNAcentral lists this ribosomal RNA (239 nucleotides) under Clostridium perfringens. RNAcentral describes it as "partial 23S ribosomal RNA". It matches the Rfam family "Bacterial large subunit ribosomal RNA", at positions 2709 to 2925 of the family's 2925-position model. Lineage: Bacteria; Bacillati; Bacillota; Clostridia; Eubacteriales; Clostridiaceae. The record is from RNAcentral.